This 779-nucleotide unclassified non-coding RNA is filed under the name Saccharomyces cerevisiae (brewer's yeast). Its description in RNAcentral is "sequence contains 18S rRNA gene, ITS1, 5.8S rRNA gene, ITS2, 28S rRNA gene". The stretch from base 371 to 524 matches the Rfam family "5.8S ribosomal RNA". The record is from RNAcentral. Lineage: Eukaryota; Fungi; Ascomycota; Saccharomycetes; Saccharomycetales; Saccharomycetaceae.
GAUCAUUAAAGAAAUUUAAUAAUUUUGAAAAUGGAUUUUUUUGUUUUGGCAAGAGCAUGAGAGCUUUUACUGGGCAAGAAGACAAGAGAUGGAGAGUCCAGCCGGGCCUGCGCUUAAGUGCGCGGUCUUGCUAGGCUUGUAAGUUUCUUUCUUGCUAUUCCAAACGGUGAGAGAUUUCUGUGCUUUUGUUAUAGGACAAUUAAAACCGUUUCAAUACAACACACUGUGGAGUUUUCAUAUCUUUGCAACUUUUUCUUUGGGCAUUCGAGCAAUCGGGGCCCAGAGGUAACAAACACAAACAAUUUUAUCUAUUCAUUAAAUUUUUGUCAAAAACAAGAAUUUUCGUAACUGGAAAUUUUAAAAUAUUAAAAACUUUCAACAACGGAUCUCUUGGUUCUCGCAUCGAUGAAGAACGCAGCGAAAUGCGAUACGUAAUGUGAAUUGCAGAAUUCCGUGAAUCAUCGAAUCUUUGAACGCACAUUGCGCCCCUUGGUAUUCCAGGGGGCAUGCCUGUUUGAGCGUCAUUUCCUUCUCAAACAUUCUGUUUGGUAGUGAGUGAUACUCUUUGGAGUUAACUUGAAAUUGCUGGCCUUUUCAUUGGAUGUUUUUUUUUCCAAAGAGAGGUUUCUCUGCGUGCUUGAGGUAUAAUGCAAGUACGGUCGUUUUAGGUUUUACCAACUGCGGCUAAUCUUUUUUUAUACUGAGCGUAUUGGAACGUUAUCGAUAAGAAGAGAGCGUCUAGGCGAACAAUGUUACUUAAAGUUUGACCUCAAAUCAGG